UAGCGGAACUCCUACGGGAGGCAGCAGUGGGGAGUAUUGGACAAUGGGCGAAAGCCUGAUCCAGCCAUGCCGCGUGUGUGGAGAAGGUCUUCGGAUUGUAAAGCACUUUCAGUUGGGAGGAAGGGCAGUUACCUAAUACGUAAUUGUUUUGACGUUACCGACAGAAUAAGCACCGGCUAACUCUGUGCCAGCAGCCGCGGUAAUACAGAGGGUGCAAGCGUUAAUCGGAAUUACUGGGCGUAAAGCGCGCGUAGGUGGUUUGUUAAGUUGGAUGUGAAAUCCCCGGGCUCAACCUGGGAACUGCAUUCAAAACUGACUGACUAGAGUAUGGUAGAGGGUGGUGGAAUUUCCUGUGUAGCGGUGAAAUGCGUAGAUAUAGGAAGGAACACCAGUGGCGAAGGCGACCACCUGGACUAAUACUGACACUGAGGUGCGAAAGCGUGGGGAGCAAACAGGAUUAGAUACCCUUGUAGUCCACUUAUG
This 483-nucleotide ribosomal RNA is filed under the name uncultured bacterium. Its description in RNAcentral is "bacterial SSU rRNA". It matches the Rfam family "Bacterial small subunit ribosomal RNA", at positions 328 to 803 of the family's 1533-position model. The record is from RNAcentral.